UCCGGAGGGGGCGAGCGUUGUUCGGAAUCAUUGGGCGUAAAGGGCGCGUAGGCGGCCGAUCAAGUCGGAGGUGAAAUCCCUCGGCUCAACUGAGGAACUGCCUUCGAUACUGCUCGGCUUGAGUCCUGGAGAGGGUAGCGGAAUUCCCGGUGUAGCGGUGAAAUGCGUAGAGACCGGGAAGAACACCAGCGGCGAAGGCGGCUACCUGGACAGGUACUGACGCUGAAGCGCGAAAGCUAGGGGAGCAAACAGG
Molecule: ribosomal RNA, 253 nt
Filed under: uncultured bacterium
Lineage: Bacteria
Description: partial 16S ribosomal RNA
Rfam family: Bacterial small subunit ribosomal RNA
Source: RNAcentral